RNAcentral lists this small RNA (29 nucleotides) under Bombyx mori (domestic silkworm). RNAcentral's name for it is "ovarian small RNA-21704". Lineage: Eukaryota; Metazoa; Arthropoda; Insecta; Lepidoptera; Bombycidae. The record is from RNAcentral.
UACUUUAUAACCAUAAAUUGAAGUAUUGC